AGAGUUUGAUCCUGGCUCAGAAUCAACGCUGGCGGCGUGCCUCAGACAUGCAAGUCGAACGAUUAAACUUUCCUUCGGGGAAGAUAUAAAGUGGCGCACGGGUGAGUAACACGUAAGUAAUCUACCUUCGGAUGGGGAAUAACAGUCGGAAACGACUGCUAAUACCGCAUAAUGCAGCGGCAUCAUAAGAUGACAGUUGUUAAAGUAUUUAUACGUCUGGAGAGGAGCUUGCGGCAGAUUAGCUAGUUGGUAAGGUAACGGCUUACCAAGGCGACGAUCUGUAUCCGACCUGAGAGGGUGGUCGGACACACUGACACUGAAUAACGGGUCAGACUCCUACGGGAGGCAGCAGUCGGGAAUUUUGGGCAAUGGGCGAAAGCCUGACCCAGCAACGCCGCGUGAAGGAUGAAGUCUUUCGGGAUGUAAACUUCGUAAGAAUAGGAAGAAUAAAUGACGGUACUAUUUGUAAGGUCCGGCUAACUACGUGCCAGCAGCCGCGGUAAUACGUAGGGACCAAGCGUUGUUCGGAUUUACUGGGCGUAAAGGGCGCGUAGGCGGCGUGACAAGUCACUUGUGAAAUCUCCGGGCUUAACUCGGAACGGUCAAGUGAUACUGUUGUGCUAGAGUGCAGAUGGGGCAAUCGGAAUUCUUGGUGUAGCGGUGAAAUGCGUAGAUAUCAAGAGGAACACCUGAGGUGAAGACGGGUUGCUGGGCUGACACUGACGCUGAGGCGCGAAAGCUAGGGUAGCAAACGGGAUUAGAUACCCUGGUAGUCC
Molecule: ribosomal RNA, 776 nt
Filed under: uncultured bacterium
Lineage: Bacteria
Description: bacterial SSU rRNA
Rfam family: Bacterial small subunit ribosomal RNA
Source: RNAcentral